UACGUAGGGGGCAAGCGUUGUCCGGAAUCAUUGGGCGUAAAGCGCACGUAGGCGGCCUCGCAAGUUGGAUGUGAAAUCCCUCGGCUCAACCGAGGACGUGCAUCCAAAACUGCGGGGCUUGAGUACUGAAGAGGAUCGCGGAAUUCCCGGUGUAGAGGUGAAAUUCGUAGAUAUCGGGAGGAACACCAGUGGCGAAGGCGGCGAUCUGGGCAGAUACUGACGCUGAGGUGCGAAAGCGUGGGGAGCAAACAGG
Molecule: ribosomal RNA, 253 nt
Filed under: uncultured bacterium
Lineage: Bacteria
Description: partial 16S ribosomal RNA
Rfam family: Bacterial small subunit ribosomal RNA
Source: RNAcentral